Molecule: RNA transcript, 3483 nt
Organism: Gymnodraco acuticeps
Lineage: Eukaryota; Metazoa; Chordata; Actinopteri; Perciformes; Bathydraconidae
Gene name: protein NLRC3-like
Exons: 9
Source: RefSeq, a predicted model, not a curated record
UGUGUGUGUGUGUCUCCAGUUUUAGUGGUUUAUCUCAGACUGGAGAAGAUGAGUGAUUUAAAAGAUGAGGAAGAGGACACAUCUUCAGUCUCCAGCUGUCUGUCUCUGAAGAGUGACUGGUCUAAAAGAAGACCUCUAAACUUCAGUAAUGAACCUGGACCCUCAGACACAAAACAGAGAGCAGAGUCUCCAGUCCCCAGCUGUCUGUCUCUGAAGAGUGAUUGGUCUAAAGAUAAACCUCCAGACUUCAGUAAUGAACCUGGACCCUCAGACACAAAAAGGAAGAGGAAGAGUGGUGUUCCUGUGGAGGAGCAGCUGUCCAGCUGUGCUCUGUGUCACAACGUCCUGACGGAUCCAGUCUCUUCCAGCUGUGGACACUGGUUCUGCAGACAGUGCAUCACCGAAUACUGGGAGCAGAGACCUCCAUCAGGAGACCCCUCCUGUCCCCAGUGUGGGAAGAGAUCCAGAACCACAGCUGGACUGCAGACAGCCAGUCAGACCAGAACUGUACGAGCAGAUAGUGGUCUGCAGGAGGUUUUAGAUGAACAUAGGCUCAGUCUGAGGAGGAGAUGUGAACGUGUGACUGAAGGAAUUGAUCAAAGUGAAACCCUCCUCAACAGCAUCUUCACUGAGCUCUACAUCACACAAGGCCAGAGUGAAGAGGUUAAUACCCAACAUGAGGUGAGGCAGCUGGAGGCAGCUUCCAAGAAGAAGCCCCUCCAUGACACUCCAAUCAAGUGCCAGGACAUCUUUAAAGCCUUACCUGACCAACAGACUCCCAUCAGAGCGGUCCUGACCAACGGAGUCGCUGGAGUUGGAAAAACCUUCUCAGUGCUGAAGUUCACUCUGGACUGGGCCGAGGGUUUGGGAAACCAAGAUGUCAGUCUGGUGAUCCCGCUCUCCUUCAGGGAGCUGAACCUGAUCAAAGGUGAGCAGUACAGUCUUCUCAGGCUGCUCCAUGUUUUCCAUCCAACCUUACAGAAGGUCAAAGCAGAGCAGCUGGCUGUCUGCAAAGUGCUGCUCAUCUUUGACGGCCUGGAUGAAAGCAGACUUUCUCUGGACUUCAGAAACAAUGAGGUUGUGUCUGAUGUCUCACAGCAGUCCUCAGUCAACGUGCUGCUGACAAACCUCAUCAGGGGGAAGCUGCUUCCCUCAGCUCUCGUCUGGAUAACUUCCAGACCUGCAGCGGCCAAUAAGAUCCCUCCUGAGUGUGUGGACAGGGUAACAGAAGUACGAGGCUUCACUGACGCCCAGAAGGAGGAGUACUUCAGGAGGAGAUCGAGUGAUGAAGACCUGUCCAGCAGAAUCAUCUCUCACAUCAAGAGCUCCAGGAGCCUCCACAUCAUGUGUCUGAUCCCAGUCUUCUGCUGGAUCACUGCUGCAGUUCUGGACCACAUGUUGACUACAGACCAGAGAGGAGAGCUGCCCCAGACCCUCACUGACAUGUACUCACACUUCCUGCUGGUCCAGACCAAGAGGAAGAAGCAGAAGUAUGAAGAGGGACAUGAGACGAGUCCACAGCAGCUGACGGAGGCUGACAGGGAGCUUCUUCUGAAGCUGGGGAGGCUGGCAUUUGAACAUCUGGAGAAAGGAGACAUCAUGUUCUACCAAGAAGACCUGCAGCGCUGUGGCCUUGGUGUCACCGAGGCCUUGGUGCACUCAGGAGUUUGUACACAGAUCUUCAAAAGAGAGAGUGUGAUCUUCCAGAAAACAGUCUACUGCUUUGUUCAUCUGAGCAUUCAGGAGUUUCUGGCUGCAGUCUACUUGUUGCACUGUUACACCAACAGAGACACAGAGGUACUGAAGGACUUCCUGCAGGGAGACUUUAACAGCAGCAGUGAUCAGGAUUACCCAUCCCUGGAUGUCUUCCUGAAGGGAGCCAUGGAGAUAUCCCUCCAAAGUAGAAAUGGCCACCUGGACCUGUUUGUCCGCUUUCUCCACGGUCUCUCUCUGGAGUCCAACCAGAGUCUGUUAGGAGGCCUGCUGGGUCGCACCGACAACAGACCAGAAACCAUCCAGAGAGCCAUCAGCAACCUGAAGGAGAUGAGCAGUAGAUAUAUCUCUCCUGACAGGAGCAUUAACGUCUUCCACUGUCUGACAGAGAUGAAGGACCUCUCAGUACAUCAGGAGAUCACAGAGUUCCUGAAGUCAGAGAACAGAUCAGAGAAGAGACUCUCUGAUAUCCACUGCUCUGCUCUGGCCUACAUGCUGCAGAUGUCAGAGGAGGUUCUGGAUGAGUUGGACCUGAAUCAGUACAACACAUCACAGGAGGGACGAUGGAGACUGAUUCCAGCUGUGAGGAACUGCAGGAAGUUCAAACUUAUUGGCUGUGGACUCUCAGAGAGUAUCUGUGAAGUCGUGGCCUCAGCUCUGAAGUCUGACCCCUCCCAUCUGAGAGAUCUGGACCUGAGUAAGAACUAUCUGAAGGAUUCACAUGUGGAGCUGCUGAUUUCUGGACUAAAGAGUCCAAACUGCAGACUGGAGGCUCUCAGACUGAGGGGCUGCAGUUUGUCAGAGAUCAGCUGUUCUGCUCUGAUCUCAGCUCUGAAGUCCAACCCCUCCCAUCUGAGAGAUCUGGACCUGAGGUACAGCGCUCUGCAGGAUUCAGGAGUGGAGCUGCUGAGAGAUCUUCUGGAGAGUCCAGACUGCAGACUGGAGACUCUCAGACUGAGGAGCUGCAGUUUGUCAGAGAUCAGCUGUUCUGCUCUGAUCUCAGCUCUGAAGUCCAACCUCCAUCUGAGAGAUUUGGACCUGAGUCGGAACAACGCUCUGCUGGAUUCAGGAGUGGAGCUGCUGAGAGAUCUUCUGGAGAGUCCAGACUGCAGACUGGAGACCCUCAGGUCAGUAAGGGGUCUCUGCUGGUUCAGCAGUAUUGUAUGAAACACAGGGAGGUGUUUCUCUCACUGGGGAAUCAGAUCAGUGAUGUUACCCACUGACUGCAGGCUCUCUCAUUCUUCCAUCAACUAGAGAAGGCCAGCUGGAAAUGCAAAGCCACAUUUAGAUCAGAAGAGAUGAGACGAUCAGAGCCAAGAUCCAGAAGACCUGAACGCCCACCCCCCGAGUCCUGCGGCAGGAAGCGCUCCUUCUCUCCAAGAACUCCUGGACCCUGCAAGCUGGUCCAGAACCAGAGUCCCAGUGAGGAGUCCAGCCAGUCGACCUCUCAGAGUUCAACUAAACUACAACAUUAUUAAAGAUCAUGUUUAAAGUUAAAAAAGGAUGCUUUCAGACUGAAUCCAGAAGCUUCUCAAGCUGCAGUCAAAGCAGAUCAUUUGAGGAAUAUAUAAAACAAUUAUGAAACUGUAAUAAGAAUUACUCUGAAUACUUUCUUUGACAUUUUAUUUACAUUUCUUUUAAACAAAUAUUUCAAAAAUGUCUGACUUCUCUCAUGAAUUAACGACUUGAUUUCAUUUUUUUUCAUUUCCAUCUUUAUUUCGAACAGAUUAAAAAAGCUAAUAAAAAAAAACAAAUGUGAAAAACAGAAUA